UAAGCACUGCCUUAUGUGCCUUCCCACAGCCACUCUUUGAGAAGUUGGUUAAGGCAGAAUGUUCACCCACUGCAGGUGAAUACACCACAACUCAGAGAGGUCAAGUGACUGGCCCAUUAAGGGGGAAUCACAGAGCCAGUUAAGUGCAGGUGAGCCCAGGGCUCUCUUCAUUAGCCAUCCUUAAUGGGUUCAAGGAGCCCAGAUGGACUUCAUCCAGGUCCGCAGGUGUCACUAGCUCCUCAGAACUGCAGGAAAUGAGGCCAACCCCCUGUCUGGACACAGCAGCCUCACAGCCUGGUCCGCAAGGACAGCAGCCCACCCUGCUUCCCACCCAGGCUGGCCACGGAUUUGAUUCAGGAGGGGAACGGUGGAAUCUGGCUCAGAGCAGGAGGCCUGCUUCUUCUGGAGACCUAUUAACGCCUUGAGCACUCAAAAAGGGUGACCCACCGCCUGCCCUCCUCCCCAGCACAGCCAAAAAUGACCUUGAUCUUUGCCAAGCCUACCCAAGAAGAGAAGGAAACGCCCCUCCUCGGCAGCAAGGCAGGGUGUACAAUCCCUCCUAUUCUCAUAUCCGCUUCUCCACCUCCAGCGAGGGAUCCUACCAGAGCCCCUUGAGGCUGCAAACCCAGGGGAGGCUCCUCCAGGCCCCUCUAACUCAGUGAAGCUAGAGAUGCAGUGCUGAGGACUUACAUGGAGAAAAAUGCACAAAUAAUAGGCCCUUGCAGCUUCAGUCUGCCCUGGGAGGAGGCUGUGGGCCAGGAUGACCCUGUAUACAUCCCAACCCAGCACCACCACCAACACCAGCAUAUACAGCAUUGAUUAUGCUCCUACUACUUAUUGAUUACGCUCCUACUACAGUAGUUCAACAACAACAAAAACUUCCUAGCGCCAAAGGUUACCGGAGGUUGCCACCCAAACCCUCUGGGACCCCUCAUCACUAGACUCCUGCUCCUGGCGACCACCCGAGUCCCAUCCCCACCAACACACGCGACUUCAUCCAAAAGUUCUUCCUCUGAGAACGCCAAGAGACACCCAAGGGACUCCAGGUAAAGGUGAGCCCUUCCAGCAGUCGCCCUCUGGCUCGGCACGGAGGGGGGCGCUCAGCCUUUCUGGGGCAAAUUUAGUAAUAUGGGACCCGAGC
Molecule: long non-coding RNA, 1141 nt
Filed under: Homo sapiens (human)
Lineage: Eukaryota; Metazoa; Chordata; Mammalia; Primates; Hominidae
Description: non-protein coding lnc-EFR3B-5:1
Source: RNAcentral